AGUCGAGCGAUGAGAUCACUUCGGUGAAGGAUUAGCGGCGAACGGGUGAGGAACACGUGAAGAAUCUGCCUUCAACUCUGGGAUAACUCCGGGAAACCGGGGCUAAUACCGGAUAUAAGUCUUGAUCGCAUGAUCGGGGCUGGAAAGUUUUUCGGUUGAAGAUGACUUCGCGGCCUAUCAGCUUGUUGGUGAGGUAAUGGCUCACCAAGGCGACGACGGGUAGCCGGCCUGAGAGGGCGACCGGCCACACUGGGACUGAGACACGGCCCAGACUCCUACGGGAGGCAGCAGUGGGGAAUAUUGGGCAAUGGAGGAAACUCUGACCCAGCGACGCCGCGUGCGGGAUGAAGGCCUUCGGGUUGUAAACCGCUUUCAGCAGGGAAUAAACGCAAGUGAAGGUACCUGCAGAAGAAGCACCGGCUAACUAUGUGCCAGCAGCCGCGGUAAUACAUAGGGUGCAAGCGUUGUCCGGAAUUAUUGGGCGUAAAGAGCUCGUAGGUGGUUUGUUACGUCGGUUGUGAAAUUCAGGGGCUCAACCCCUGACUUGCAGCCGAUACGGGCAAGCUAGAGUUUGGUAGGGGAGACUGGAAUUCCUGGUGUAGCGGUGGAAUGCGCAGAUAUCAGGAGGAACACCGAUGGCGAAGGCAGGUCUCUGGGCCAAUACUGACACUGAGGAGCGAAAGCGUGGGGAGCGAACAGGAUUAGAUACCCUGGUAGUCCACGCCGUAAACGGUGGGCGCUAGUUGUGCGAACCUUCCACGGUUUGUGCGACGCAGCUAACGCAUUAAGCGCCCCGCCUGGGGAGUACGAUCGCAAGAUUAAAACUCAAAGGAAUUGACGGGGCCCCGCACAAGCAGCGGAGCAUGCGGCUUAAUUCGACGCAACGCGAAGAACCUUACCAG
This 902-nucleotide ribosomal RNA is filed under the name uncultured bacterium. RNAcentral's name for it is "bacterial SSU rRNA". It matches the Rfam family "Bacterial small subunit ribosomal RNA", at positions 60 to 977 of the family's 1533-position model. The record is from RNAcentral.